This is a long non-coding RNA of Mus pahari (shrew mouse), 1642 nucleotides long. RefSeq lists it as uncharacterized. The record is from RefSeq and is a predicted model, not a curated record. The transcript is spliced from 3 exons. Lineage: Eukaryota; Metazoa; Chordata; Mammalia; Rodentia; Muridae.
CCUGAGGGCCCGCCCCUCCGGGAGGAGCCGGCCAAUGGCAGGCGAGGACGGCAGCACAACGUGGAGCGGCCGCAGAAUGUAAACACGCCGGAGCGCGCCGCCCGCCACGUGCGGAGCCGGAGCCAGCGGCCGGGCGACGAGCGCACGGGAAGGGCGCACGGGAAGGCGCCUCAGCCCCGCUGGACGAGUGGGAAGUAAAAUCCAACCUUUUUGCAUCUCUGCAAAAAAUUCCCCACCUAUACAACCAUACAAGUACAAAUUGUCAUAAAAGUGCUGGGAAUGGAACCCAGGACCUUGCACAUGCUAGGCAAACCCUCUACCACUAAACUACAUCCUCAACUCUUGGAGUCUUCUUACCACUUGUACUUUCAGUGCAUUGAAGAACACUGUAAACCACUAGUAGGUAUAACAGCAAAAUGGUGGUGAUGAUGAUAAUGAGUAAUCAACUAAUAAAAUGUAUUUUUGGCCAGGUUUCCAAAAAAAUGUUUAACAGGUUAACAUUGUUCUGUGUUAUUAGACUUGUAUCUAACACACAAUAGUUGCCUAACAAAACGCCUAAUGAUUAAGAACUUCAAUUGAGUUAUAUAAAUUUUUUUCUUCAGUUCUUACAAGUGCCAAUUUUAGAUAUAAACGUUAGAUUUUUCACACAAAAACCACGACGUGCUACCUACUUACUAUAGGUGGUGUGGUAAUCUUAACCCCAAAGGAAAAAAAAAUCCCAAUAAUUGAUUUGUUUGCUGGUUUACAGGAAAAAAACACUAAGCAUAGACAAAGCAAAUGAAAAGUCAGUAAGUGACAGAGAUGUAAAUGUACUUAAGGGAUAAAUGUGAUGGAAAGGUUUUUUUUAAAAACAAAAACAAAAAAAGUAUAGUUUAAUACACAAACCAAUUCAUGUUGGCCAAACAAAUUCUGAUGGCUGACCUUCCAGCUUGUGAGACACAGCUUUCAUGUGAUGUAAGGGAGUAGGGGCAAAGCUACAUGUAUUCAGAACCUUUGUCCAGAAGACACUUAACUGGUCUAUUUCAAGUUACCAACAUAUGACCCUAUAAUAGCUGUGGUAUAAAAUAUGCACACCUCCAUGAAAACAAAUAGUAACAACUUCUCAGUUUAACAAACUCUAUAGACUUGGCCCCUUAAUUAGAAAACAAACAAAUAAAAGGGGAAGUCAAUAUGGAAAAGACUUAAGAAUUAGUCUAGAUUCCUGUUCUAAGGAGACAUCCUGCCUGGCACCUAAUCAUAGCCAGUGUUUAACCUUCCCCAUCUGACUGCAGCUCUAAAUGCCCAGCCUCAUCAGCAAAAAGCACUGUACCUUCCUGAAAAAUUACCAGGGUUCCCUGCAUCAAGCUGCUUCAGGGAUAAUACAUAGCACAUAACAGUAUGCUUCGUUUUUCCUUGAAAUUAUUUCAUAAACAAAUGUUUAGUCAUGGUUGCAGAGGGGCUAGGGAAAUGAGCAGUUUGAAUAUAUGGCAAUGGUAUUAUUCUUAGUAGAAUGCGCUUCAAGCUGUAAAUGGGUUUAAUCUUCCAGAAAGUUGGUUGCAAGUAUGGAUGGCUCACCAAAAUCCAUCAAAACUGCUCUUUUAAGAGCUGGCCAGCCGGGCAUGGUGGCGCACGCCUUUAAUCCCAGCACUUGGGAGGCAGAGGC